CCUGCCCAAGAGAUCGGGAUAACACCUGGAAACAGAUGCUAAUACCGGAUAACAACAGAUGAUGCCUAUCAACUGUUUAAAAGAUGGUUAUGCUAUCACUCUUGGAUGGACCUGCGGUGCAUUAGCUAGUUGGUAGGGUAACGGCCUACCAAGGCGAUGAUGCAUAGCCGAGUUGAGAGACUGAUCGGCCACAUUGGGACUGAGACACGGCCCAAACUCCUACGGGAGGCAGCAGAU
This 237-nucleotide ribosomal RNA is filed under the name uncultured Lactobacillus sp. RNAcentral describes it as "partial 16S ribosomal RNA". It matches the Rfam family "Bacterial small subunit ribosomal RNA", at positions 125 to 354 of the family's 1533-position model. The record is from RNAcentral. Lineage: Bacteria; Bacillati; Bacillota; Bacilli; Lactobacillales; Lactobacillaceae.